This 303-nucleotide ribosomal RNA is filed under the name uncultured bacterium. Its description in RNAcentral is "partial 16S ribosomal RNA". It matches the Rfam family "Bacterial small subunit ribosomal RNA", at positions 507 to 807 of the family's 1533-position model. The record is from RNAcentral.
AGCAGUAGCCGCGGGAAUACGUAGGUGGCAAGCGCUGUCCAGAAUUAUUGGGCGUAAAGGGCUCGCAGGCGGUUUCUUAAGUCUGAUGUGAAAGCCCCCGGCUCAACCGGGGAGGGUCAUUGGAAACUGGGAAACUUGAGUGCAGAAGAGGAGAGUGGAAUUCCACGUGUAGCGGUGAAAUGCGUAGAGAUGUGGAGGAACACCAGUGGCGAAGGCGACUCUCUGGUCUGUAAUUGACGCUGAGGAGCGAAAGCGUGGGGAGCGAACAGGAUUAGAUACCCCAGUAGUCCCUGUCUCUUAUAC